Molecule: long non-coding RNA, 173 nt
Organism: Bradysia coprophila
Lineage: Eukaryota; Metazoa; Arthropoda; Insecta; Diptera; Sciaridae
Source: RefSeq, a predicted model, not a curated record
ACUACCUAACGCGAUGCAUUCCAGUCAAAUUCAUAAAAUUAACAUCCAAAUUGGGGUCCUUUUUCUCAGGCCUCUUUCUUAUUCAAUUUGCUACUAGCGGACUUUGUAUCUGUGGAUCGAUUUAUUGCCUGGCAUUUGAUGUCGGUGAGCAUAUAUUGGAGCGUCUUAUGUAU